This 465-nucleotide ribosomal RNA is filed under the name uncultured bacterium. RNAcentral describes it as "partial 16S ribosomal RNA". It matches the Rfam family "Bacterial small subunit ribosomal RNA", at positions 28 to 507 of the family's 1533-position model. The record is from RNAcentral.
GAUGAACGCUGGCGGCGUGCUUAACACAUGCAAGUCGAACGGAAAGGCCCUGCUUGCAGGGCACUCGCGUGGCGAACGGGUGAGUAACACGUGGGUGAUCUGCCCUGCACUUCGGGAUAAGUCUGGGAGACUGGGCCUAAUACCGGAUAUGUCCUUUAUUGAAGCGCGGGGGGUGGAAAGAUUUAUCGGUGUGGGAUGGGCCUGCGGCCUAUUCGCUUGUUGGUGGGGUAAUGGCUUACGAAGGCGCCGACGGGUGGCCGGCCUGAGAGGGUGGACGGGCACAUUAGGCCUGCGGGACGGCCCAGAAUCCUACGGGAGGCAGCAGUGGAAAAUAUUGCAGAGUGGGGGGAAGCCUGAUGCAGCGACGCUGGGUGGGGGAUGACCGCCUUCGGGUUAUAAACCUCUUUCGACAGAGACGAAGCUGCGGUGACGGUACCUGAAUAAGAAGCACCGGCUAACUACGUG